RNAcentral lists this transfer RNA (88 nucleotides) under Acidovorax soli. Its description in RNAcentral is "tRNA-Asp". It matches the Rfam family "tRNA". Rfam says of the family: Transfer RNA (tRNA) molecules are approximately 80 nucleotides in length. Their secondary structure includes four short double-helical elements and three loops (D, anti-codon, and T loops). Further hydrogen bonds mediate the characteristic L-shaped molecular structure. tRNAs have two regions of fundamental functional importance: the anti-codon, which is responsible for specific mRNA codon recognition, and the 3' end, to which the tRNAs corresponding amino acid is attached (by aminoacyl-tRNA synthetases). tRNAs cope with the degeneracy of the genetic code in two manners: having more than one tRNA (with a specific anti-codon) for a particular amino acid; and 'wobble' base-pairing, i.e. permitting non-standard base-pairing at the 3rd anti-codon position. Lineage: Bacteria; Pseudomonadati; Pseudomonadota; Betaproteobacteria; Burkholderiales; Comamonadaceae. The record is from RNAcentral.
GUUCCGCUAACUCAGUGGCCAGAGUGUCUCCCUGUCAGGGCGAACAGGCCCCAGGAAGCCAGGGGUUCGACUCCCCUGCGGAACGCCA